This is a non-coding RNA of Orycteropus afer afer, 73 nucleotides long. NCBI's taxonomy places the organism in Eukaryota, Metazoa, Chordata, Mammalia, Tubulidentata, Orycteropodidae. The record is from the annotation of a RefSeq genome assembly.
GUUUCCGUAGUGUAGUCGUUAUCACGUUCGCCUCACAUGCGAAAGGUCCCCGGUUCAUAACCAGGAGGGAACA